GCCAUCGGAUGAACUGAUCCAGCCUCCCUUCUCGGAUCAAACACUCAAUUUUCUCUUUGAGCUGGUAAGAAUCUUCGGUAUCAUGACCGUGGUCAUGAUGAUAAAAGCAAUACUUGUCUGGAUCGCAGUGUUCUGGAUGUGUCUGUAUCUUUAAGGGUGAAGGCAGCUCGAUUCGCACUUCCAUCAAAAUCUCUCUCCUAAAAGCAUUCAAAAGAGUA
This 218-nucleotide long non-coding RNA is filed under the name Elaeis guineensis (African oil palm). RNAcentral describes it as "long non-coding RNA (EGUI_LNC015577)". The record is from RNAcentral. Lineage: Eukaryota; Viridiplantae; Streptophyta; Magnoliopsida; Arecales; Arecaceae.